GCACGGGUGAGUAACGCGUGGGUAACCUACCCCCGGCGGGGGAUAACUACUCGAAAGGGUGGCUAAUACCGCAUGAGACCACGGGAUCCCCGGAUCCUGAGGCCAAAGGCUGCAUCGGCUUGCCGGUGCAGUCACCAGGGGAUGGGCCCGCGUCCGAUUAGCUAGUUGGCGAGGUAACGGCUCACCAAGGCUUCGAUCGGUAGCUGGUCUGAGAGGAUGAUCAGCCACACUGGAACUGAAACACGGUCCAGACUCCUACGGGAGGCAGCAGUGAGGAAUAUUGCGCAAUGGGGGAAACCCUGACGCAGCAACGCCGCGUGGGUGAAGAAGGCCUUCGGGUCGUAAAGCCCUUUCGGACAGAAAGAAAUCCUAUCCGCUAAUACCGGGUGGGGAUGACGGUACUGUAAGAAGAAGCACCGGCUAACUACGUGCCAGCAGCCGCGGUAA
This 447-nucleotide ribosomal RNA is filed under the name uncultured delta proteobacterium. RNAcentral's name for it is "bacterial SSU rRNA". It matches the Rfam family "Bacterial small subunit ribosomal RNA", at positions 100 to 523 of the family's 1533-position model. The record is from RNAcentral. Lineage: Bacteria; Deltaproteobacteria.